AGCCUCAUGGGCUCCUCAGAGCAGGAAGAGGGGGAAGAGAGCCAGGAUGACAGCAGCCCCAUCGAGCUGGACUGAAGCUGCCUGGCCAGCGUGGAGAUGUCCAUGGCCGGCACCGCUGGGACGGAUUCAGUGCCAGGCUGGGCGCAAGGCCCCUUACCAGUGGGCUGCUGCUCUGUGGCUGAGGGGCCAUCUAUGCAGAGUCUGUCCCUAUUUAUGUAUGGUGGUUGAGGGCUGUGUGGCCAGGACCAAGAGCAAGGCCCAGCUUCUGCUGGCCAAUCGUGUUCCUUCAGAUCACCCACAAUAAAGCGCAGCCCUUGCUGCAGCACCCGC
This 330-nucleotide long non-coding RNA is filed under the name Mus musculus (house mouse). RNAcentral's name for it is "long non-coding RNA chr5:139268994-139269324". The record is from RNAcentral. Lineage: Eukaryota; Metazoa; Chordata; Mammalia; Rodentia; Muridae.